Molecule: ribosomal RNA, 1372 nt
Filed under: uncultured bacterium
Lineage: Bacteria
Description: bacterial SSU rRNA
Rfam family: Bacterial small subunit ribosomal RNA
Source: RNAcentral
GAUGAACGCUGGCGGCGUGCCUAAUACAUGCAAGUCGAGCGAACGGACGAGAAGCUUGCUUCUCUGAUGUUAGCGGCGGACGGGUGAGUAACACGUGGAUAACCUACCUAUAAGACUGGGAUAACUUCGGGAAACCGGAGCUAAUACCGGAUAAUAUUUUGAACCGCAUGGUUCAAAAGUGAAAGACGGUCUUGCUGUCACUUAUAGAUGGAUCCGCGCUGCAUUAGCUAGUUGGUAAGGUAACGGCUUACCAAGGCAACGAUGCAUAGCCGACCUGAGAGGGUGAUCGGCCACACUGGAACUGAGACACGGUCCAGACUCCUACGGGAGGCAGCAGUAGGGAAUCUUCCGCAAUGGGCGAAAGCCUGACGGAGCAACGCCGCGUGAGUGAUGAAGGUCUUCGGAUCGUAAAACUCUGUUAUUAGGGAAGAACAUAUGUGUAAGUAACUGUGCACAUCUUGACGGUACCUAAUCAGAAAGCCACGGCUAACUACGUGCCAGCAGCCGCGGUAAUACGUAGGUGGCAAGCGUUAUCCGGAAUUAUUGGGCGUAAAGCGCGCGUAGGCGGUUUUUUAAGUCUGAUGUGAAAGCCCACGGCUCAACCGUGGAGGGUCAUUGGAAACUGGAAAACUUGAGUGCAGAAGAGGAAAGUGGAAUUCCAUGUGUAGCGGUGAAAUGCGCAGAGAUAUGGAGGAACACCAGUGGCGAAGGCGACUUUCUGGUCUGUAACUGACGCUGAUGUGCGAAAGCGUGGGGAUCAAACAGGAUUAGAUACCCUGGUAGUCCACGCCGUAAACGAUGAGUGCUAAGUGUUAGGGGGUUUCCGCCCCUUAGUGCUGCAGCUAACGCAUUAAGCACUCCGCCUGGGGAGUACGACCGCAAGGUUGAAACUCAAAGGAAUUGACGGGGACCCGCACAAGCGGUGGAGCAUGUGGUUUAAUUCGAAGCAACGCGAAGAACCUUACCAAAUCUUGACAUCCUUUGACAACUCUAGAGAUAGAGCUUUCCCCUUCGGGGGACAAAGUGACAGGUGGUGCAUGGUUGUCGUCAGCUCGUGUCGUGAGAUGUUGGGUUAAGUCCCGCAACGAGCGCAACCCUUAAGCUUAGUUGCCAUCAUUAAGUUGGGCACUCUAAGUUGACUGCCGGUGACAAACCGGAGGAAGGUGGGGAUGACGUCAAAUCAUCAUGCCCCUUAUGAUUUGGGCUUCACACGUGCUACAAUGGACAAUACAAAGGGCAGCGAAACCGCGAGGUCAAGCAAAUCCCAUAAAGUUGUUCUCAGUUCGGAUUGUAGUCUGCAACUCGACUACAUGAAGCUGGAAUCGCUAGUAAUCGUAGAUCAGCAUGCUACGGUGAAUACGUUCCCGGGUCU